AUUGAACGCUGGCGGCAUGCCUUACACAUGCAAGUCGAACGGCAGCACGGGUGCUUGCCCCUGGUGGCGAGUGGCGAACGGGUGAGUAAUACAUCGGAACAUGUCCUGUAGUGGGGGAUAGCCCGGCGAAAGCCGGAUUAAUACCGCAUACGAUCUACGGAUGACAGCUGGGGACCUUCGGGCCUCGCGCUUUAGGGUUGGCCGAUGGCUGAUUAGCUAGUUGGUGGGGUAAAGGCCUACCAAGGCGACGAUCAGUAGCUGGUCUGAGAGGACGACCAGCCACACUGGAACUGAGACACGGCCCAGACUCCUACGGGAGGCAGCAGUGGGGAAUUUUGGACAAUGGGCGAAAGCCUGAUCGAGCAAUGCCGCGUGUGUGAAGAAGGCCUUCGGGUUGUAAAGCACUUUUGUCCGGAAAGAAAUACUUGGCCCUAAUACGGUCGGGGGAUGACGGUACCGGAAGAGUAAGCACCGGCUAACUACGUG
This 486-nucleotide ribosomal RNA is filed under the name uncultured bacterium. RNAcentral describes it as "partial 16S ribosomal RNA". It matches the Rfam family "Bacterial small subunit ribosomal RNA", at positions 30 to 507 of the family's 1533-position model. The record is from RNAcentral.